RNAcentral lists this ribosomal RNA (163 nucleotides) under Phalaris rotgesii. RNAcentral's name for it is "5.8S ribosomal RNA". It matches the Rfam family "5.8S ribosomal RNA". Rfam says of the family: 5.8S ribosomal RNA (5.8S rRNA) is a component of the large subunit of the eukaryotic ribosome. Lineage: Eukaryota; Viridiplantae; Streptophyta; Magnoliopsida; Poales; Poaceae. The record is from RNAcentral.
ACACGACUCUCGGCAACGGAUAUCUCGGCUCUCGCAUCGAUGAAGAACGUAGCGAAAUGCGAUACCUGGUGUGAAUUGCAGAAUCCCGCGAACCAUCGAGUCUUUGAACGCAAGUUGCGCCYGAGGCCAUUCGGUUGAGGGCACGCCUGCCUGGGCGUCACGC